AACGAACGCUGGCGGCGUGGAUAAGACAUGCAAGUCGAGCGCUGAUUCAAGGGUAGCAAUAUUCUUGAGUUGGAGCGGCGCAAGGGUGCGUAACACGUGGGUAAUUUGCCAUGAAGUCUG
RNAcentral lists this ribosomal RNA (120 nucleotides) under uncultured bacterium. RNAcentral's name for it is "partial 16S ribosomal RNA". It matches the Rfam family "Bacterial small subunit ribosomal RNA", at positions 29 to 140 of the family's 1533-position model. The record is from RNAcentral.